RNAcentral lists this ribosomal RNA (460 nucleotides) under uncultured bacterium. RNAcentral describes it as "bacterial SSU rRNA". It matches the Rfam family "Bacterial small subunit ribosomal RNA", at positions 338 to 795 of the family's 1533-position model. The record is from RNAcentral.
CCUACGGGAGGCAGCAGUGAGGAAUAUUGGACAAUGGGCGAGAGCCUGAUCCAGCCAUGCCGCGUGCAGGAAGACUGCCCUAUGGGUUGUAAACUGCUUUUAUAUAGGAAGAAACCUAUCCACGUGUGGGUAGCUGACGGUACUAUAAGAAUAAGGAUCGGCUAACUCCGUGCCAGCAGCCGCGGUAAUACGGAGGAUCCAAGCGUUAUCCGGAAUCAUUGGGUUUAAAGGGUCCGUAGGUGGAUAAUUAAGUCAGAGGUGAAAUCCUGCAGCUCAACUGUAGAAUUGCCUUUGAUACUGGUUAUCUUGAAUUAUUGUGAAGUGGUUAGAAUAUGUAGUGUAGCGGUGAAAUGCAUAGAUAUUACAUAGAAUACCAAUUGCGAAGGCAGAUCACUAACAAUAUAUUGACACUGAUGGACGAAAGCGUGGGGAGCGAACAGGAUUAGAUACCCCAGUAGUC